CUUCCUGCCUUGGCAGUGGGUAGGGGGAUUUGUGCUGUGGGCAAGGAGGCAGUACGUACUGCCCCAGGGGGCUUCCCGUGCACAGCUCUGGCAACUGGGGAUGUAGGGUCAGGACCAGGCUUCUGGCUCUGAUCUCGCCCAGGCCCUGCCACGACCACACACGUUGUCACCUCCUUGACAACAGACUCCCUAGGACGUGGGCAGGGCUGAGUGGAAGGAAAUGAGAGUGUGCCCCGAGACGUGGCUCCACCCAGCGCUGGGAAAAUUCCAGACUCUGUGUUAGGAAGAAUGAACAGACAGCACGAAAGAGUAAGAUCAGACUUCGGGAAGAAGGGCCAGACGGUGCUAGAGAAACACAGACAAGAUCACGGAGCGCCUUUGGGAAAGGUCGGCCUACGCCUUGUUUGCA
Molecule: long non-coding RNA, 409 nt
Organism: Ailuropoda melanoleuca (giant panda)
Lineage: Eukaryota; Metazoa; Chordata; Mammalia; Carnivora; Ursidae
Exons: 3
Source: RefSeq, a predicted model, not a curated record